UGGAGGAGGUAUCCUCGGCUGCUAGACAAUACCGCGCGGAAGCUAGGCGGAGGUGGUUCCCGGAGCGAUGGCGCAAGGAUGGAGCUGGAAAUGUUGGAUGCGAGGGCUGUAUGUGCUACUGAUCACAUUCGCUCCCUUCGUCAAAGGUUCCUUCUCGAUCUUCUCGAUCUUUGUCACAGUGCAAUGGUGUGCGUGAAUUUUUGGAUACAGGAGGAGAGACCGAUGUGAGCAACUGCCAGAGUUUGCAGUCGCGUGUCAAUCGCUUGAAGAGCAACUGACGAACAUCUACCCCAGCAGUACUCUAACUCUUGCGAUCUCAAGUUCACAGUACAUCAGUGCCGUAAGUCGCGAUCCCGAAGUUUGAGAAGAAAGAAGACGCCACACCAGCAAGAUGGCUCCCAGCUGCCUCAAGGAGCUCAAGGUCUCGCUCGCCUCAAAACAUCCGAAGCUACAGGCCACUGGCUCUUGUGGCCCGACUCUCUUACGGUUCUAGACUUCGAGGUGUGGGGCAGCCUUGAAUUGCGUGUGGUGGUUGCUCUCGUGCUUCCGCAAGCUCGAGAGCUUCCGGAUGGCUGGAGACUUCUACAGUUUUAAAAGCCUCUUUGCGAAGCUGCCAGUUUUGCAGCGCUACAAGUGUGUCGCGGCUUGCCCGAUGCUGGAGUAUCUCAGCGGGCUUUGUGGACACCUCGAAAGAUCUCACGCUCAAGAGUUGCCAGCCUCGAGAGUUUCCAGUUUUCUGGGCGACGAGGUUGCAGCGAGAACGAGAAAGUUUAGGAUGAUCACCGGGGAAAAGCUAUGGCGGAGGUGGAAGCGAUGGUGGAAUUCCUUAAAGUAGUCAUGGAAUUCUCAAGGACAGGCGUGAAACCUGACUGGAUAGAGGUGGAGUAUGGUCCUUAUGGCAUCCGUGGAUAUAAGGAUUCUAGGCCUAAACGGGUUAAAUCUCAAGAGGAGUUGGAAGAGAUUGACAGGAAGAACAAGGAGCUGUGGGAAGUGCACAGCCGUGGAAAUGUAUUUGGCACUAUUUGCUCAAAGUGGGUUCGCUAUGGGCGCUGUGGAUUUGAUGAUUCGGAUCCCUUGUGUAGCAUGGAGCAUCCUCCAGAGUAUCGAGGUAAAUCAGGCCUCAUCCUGGAUAAUGAAUUAGCGUUCGCUCGCCAGAGAGUCCAGAAUGGCCAGGUUGACGGGAGGAUCUUGCCUCCGAGUGGAUGUAAGUCAUUGAAUCAUGAAUGACGAUCAAAUCUCUUUCGACUCGCAAAAUUUGAUUUUUGCGCGCUGCCAUCAUCCAAGAGGCCGGGGUGGAGAACGGUUGGGCAAGCUUCUGCAUAUGGUACCCCGAUUUCUUUGCUCGGUGAGAUCAAAGGCCACGAACCGGCAUGCGAGCUUCGACCACGGCGCCAGCUCUUGACUUUGGACACACAGACUUGAAGUCGGUCACUUGGAGACGACAAGCGCGAUUACACCAAGACUGGCUGGUCCAUAGUCUAUCGUCGACUCCGGAGAUGGACUUCCACUGUCCUGGUUCUAAGGACUUGGCACUUCACGUCAACAUUCUCUCAAGUGCAAAGCAUGCCUGUACUGGUAAUGCUGGAGAAAUCCUCCGUAUCAGCUUGUUCGGCACCUUCGCUUCACUGCCGGUUCCAAAAGGGAUACUCAAGAACGUCGCCGGCGUUUCGUGGUGCUUCUUGUUUUAUUUCGCUGCGCCAUUAUCUCAUCAUUCUUCUAUCAUGUGAAACCUCUUCUCGGGGGUUCCAUCUAACGUGUUAACUGUGCAGCAAAUCCCCGUGUGGUGGAAGUGGUACUACACGAGCAACGCAAGAAACUCUAACUUAUAAGUGAACACACGACGUAAGUAGCGAGGAUCUGCGCUUUUGCUUCUGCGAACUUGCUAAGUAUAAUAUAGCUGCAGACUUUUAUGGAAGAUCUCUUUCUCCCUGGAUCACAAUGGAGAGUCCUGGUAGCGCAGCGUGCAAUCGUCGUUGAGCUUGACAUCCACAGCGAUGGCGUCGACACAGUCCAGCCACGCCUUGGCGAUGAUGUCGUCGAUGCAGCCUCUGCACGAGUCCUGGCUUGGGAGGACGUUGGUGGUGGCGUUGCGGAGGCACUGCGCCUGGCCGUAGGCGGGGACGUCGCCCUCGACUCCCUUGUUGGUGCUGUAAGUCAUGUUGGCGGCGGUGGGAGUGCUCUGGACGAGAUCCGCCAGCGUCGCAUUGAGGCUGUUCCAGUAAGUGCUCCCCUCUGGGAUGGACUCGUCGCUGCACAGCCCCGAGAGUAGCUUCACGCCCUGCGCUCCUGCUGCUACCAUCGCCACCACCAUCGUACAGAUGAUCAAAACAUCCUUCUUGACGCCCAUGAUCUUGCUGCUCGAUCGAAACGAAGUAUGCACAAGUUAGAGCAAAGAAAGAGAGCUUGCCUUUUCCUUGUGACGAGUUGCUUCCAUUUUAUCACAAAAACCACAAGUAGAAUGUGAAAGAUCACAAGUACCUUAUGAGAGA
Molecule: RNA transcript, 2489 nt
Organism: Selaginella moellendorffii
Lineage: Eukaryota; Viridiplantae; Streptophyta; Lycopodiopsida; Selaginellales; Selaginellaceae
Exons: 6
Source: RefSeq, a predicted model, not a curated record